RNAcentral lists this ribosomal RNA (254 nucleotides) under uncultured bacterium. Its description in RNAcentral is "partial 16S ribosomal RNA". It matches the Rfam family "Bacterial small subunit ribosomal RNA", at positions 524 to 776 of the family's 1533-position model. The record is from RNAcentral.
UACGAAGGGGGCUAGCGUUGUUCGGAAUUACUGGGCGUAAAGCGCGCGUAGGCGGCUUUGCAUGCCAGAGGUGAAAUGCCUGAGCUCAACUUGGGAAUUGCCUUUGGGACUGUGAGGCUUUGAGGACUGGAGAGGUGAGUGGAAUUCCCAGUGUAGAGGUGAAAUUCGUAGAUAUUGGGAAGAACACCGGUGGCGAAGGCGGCUCACUGGCCAGUUUCUGACGCUGCAGCGCGAAAGCGUGGGGAUCAAACAGG